ACCACCGUUGAAGAGGCCAGAGAUGGAGCAGGCCCAGGGGAAUCAACAACGAAGCCGCCGUCAGCAAGCCUAACAGGCGUUUGCAGAUAAGAUCGCCUGAACCCUUCUGGUGGGCAGGCAUGCUCUCCUGAGGACUGAGCCCAGUUCCAUGCAAAUUACCCAGUACCUC
Non-coding RNA from Salvelinus sp. IW2-2015, 169 nucleotides. Lineage: Eukaryota; Metazoa; Chordata; Actinopteri; Salmoniformes; Salmonidae. The record is from RefSeq and is a predicted model, not a curated record.